Daktulosphaira vitifoliae (grape phylloxera) is the source of this 498-nucleotide long non-coding RNA. RefSeq lists it as uncharacterized. The record is from RefSeq and is a predicted model, not a curated record. The transcript has 3 exons. NCBI's taxonomy places the organism in Eukaryota, Metazoa, Arthropoda, Insecta, Hemiptera, Phylloxeridae.
UUGUAUAUUUAUGUAUUGAUGCUAUUUUAUUUAGUGUUAUCUGCAAUAAAAAUAACAAAUUAUGUAAUUUAUUGUAUUUAUAUGUCUAAGUACCAUAAAAUGGCCACAUUGGUGAAUGACGCCCAAACAUUGUAAGGAGAGUACUGUGGAAACUUUCCAAAUUCAGUUGAUGCAAGGUUUCUAAGUUCAGUGUUAUAUGAACCAAUCUCCACAUCGUUAUUUGGUAAAUGGUUAUGUUCGUGGAGGGAUCUAAUUGGUGCAUUUUCUGGCACUAACGCCAUGGAUGCAGUGCCCCGACAGCCAGACUCAUAGCGAGUACAUCUUAAUUGCCUGAAAUAAAAGAUAUCAAAGUCAUACCUACUAUUGGUAGAACUUUUAUUUUGUACGUAAGUAAAACCAUUAUCAGCCAAGUACACUGGUCUACCCCGUACUCCGGGUACUGUGCUUGAAACAGUUCCAGUGCUUAACACAUCAAAAACAUACCGUAUUGGAGACCGA